CAGGUCGAGGUGUAGCGUAUGGAGGGGGAAGAAAUGGGCUACAUUCUCUACCUAGAGAAUAACGAACGGUGUAAUGAAAUAUACACCCGAAGGAGGAUUUAGCAGUAAGCAAGAAACAGAGUGUCUCGCUGAAACCGGCCAUGAAGCGCGCACACACCGCCCGUCACUCUCCCCAAGCUACAUCUUAACCAUAGCUAAUAAAACAUCCCACACAAAGGGGAGGCAAGUCGUAACAUGGUAAGUGUACCGGAAGGUGCACUUGGAAAAAC
Molecule: ribosomal RNA, 269 nt
Filed under: Sphoeroides annulatus (bullseye puffer)
Lineage: Eukaryota; Metazoa; Chordata; Actinopteri; Tetraodontiformes; Tetraodontidae
Description: partial 12S ribosomal RNA
Rfam family: Bacterial small subunit ribosomal RNA
Source: RNAcentral